AGUAGAAUCGCAGGGUCAUAAGGUAACUUUACACACAAACUUUGGAGAAACUGCCAGAAUGUUUUCCAAAGUGGCUGCUCCAUUUUAUAUUCCUACUGGCAAU
This 103-nucleotide microRNA precursor is filed under the name Marmota monax (woodchuck). The record is from RNAcentral. Lineage: Eukaryota; Metazoa; Chordata; Mammalia; Rodentia; Sciuridae.